AUUGAACGCUGGCGGAAUGCUUUACACAUGCAAGUCGAACGGCAGCACGGACUUCGGUCUGGUGGCGAGUGGCGAACGGGUGAGUAAUGUAUCGGAACGUGCCCAGUCGUGGGGGAUAACGUAGUGAAAAUUACGCUAAUACCGCAUACGAUCUAUGGAUGAAAGCGGGGGAUCGCAAGACCUCGCGCGAUUGGAGCGGCCGAUAUCAGAUUAGGUAGUUGGUGGGGUAAAGGCCCACCAAGCCAACGAUCUGUAGCUGGUCUGAGAGGACGACCAGCCACACUGGAACUGAGACACGGUCCAGACUCCGACGGGAGGCAGCAGUGGGGGAUUUUGGACAAUGGGCGAAAGCCUGAUCCAGCCAUUCCGUGUGCAGGAUGAAGGCCCUCGGGUUGUAAACUGCUUUUGUACAGAACGAAAAGGUUUCUACUAAUACUAGGAGCUCAUGACGGUACUGUAAGAAUAAGCACCGGCUAACUACGUGCCAGCCGCCGCAGUAA
This 500-nucleotide ribosomal RNA is filed under the name uncultured bacterium. Its description in RNAcentral is "partial 16S ribosomal RNA". It matches the Rfam family "Bacterial small subunit ribosomal RNA", at positions 30 to 523 of the family's 1533-position model. The record is from RNAcentral.